Myotis davidii is the source of this 798-nucleotide long non-coding RNA. RefSeq lists it as uncharacterized. The record is from RefSeq and is a predicted model, not a curated record. NCBI's taxonomy places the organism in Eukaryota, Metazoa, Chordata, Mammalia, Chiroptera, Vespertilionidae. The transcript is spliced from 3 exons.
UGGCUGCAGCCCCGUGAUGUGCUUUGACCAAUGAAGAUUGUUGGAGUGAAGACUGUCACUACUAAUACAAGAGUCUGGAACCAGAGACUGGCAUGCUCUCUGUUCAUUGCUACUAACACCUAGCAGAGACUGAGGCUUCCCAGCGCCAGUUCUCCAGUAGGACAAGGCAUCAGAGGCAGUAUCUCCCUAUGCAGUUGUGUGUCUGAGGUUUGCUGAGCCCCAACACGCCAGAAUUUGGGCUUUUGUGACUCUGGGAUUUCGCUCUGCUUACAGAGUUCGACGCAGCCUCACUGAAUUUAACCCUUCAGCCUGGGGUGUGGACACCUCUGGGAUCCUGCAGUCCAGGUCGCUCUGCCAGGAACACUCAGAAGAGGAACAGACUAGAAGAUAGAUGAUAUCAGUUGGGGACAGGAGGCAAAAGUCCUAUAAGAGAUAAGGUAACUGGCAAGAGUGUGCACUGAGGACUGAGUCUUGAAGUAAUGUGGUCAUCUCCAGGAUACAUGGGCCUAUUGACUGGAAGAAGGUACUAAGCAGUCUGAGCCCAUGGAUCCUGGGGUUGGUGGCCAGAGUCUCAACAGAUCUUUCUCUGAACACAGAUUGCUGCCCAUGCAGAGUGGUUUAAGGGUGCCGUUUUGUGGAACUGAUAUCAGGGCCUCACACUCUUACAACUUCUGAGAUAGUGGUAUCCUGGGAUUGUCUUGCCUCUCUUCUAGCCCUUAUAUCUCUGGACCUUAAUAAGACACCAAGCCCAGAAUCCUAAGUACAUGUCUAAGGUUGUAUGAAAUGGUCCCUGUUUUU